Molecule: non-coding RNA, 671 nt
Organism: Microcebus murinus (gray mouse lemur)
Lineage: Eukaryota; Metazoa; Chordata; Mammalia; Primates; Cheirogaleidae
Source: RefSeq, a predicted model, not a curated record
UCCUCCAGAAUCCAGCAAAGAAUCAUUAAGAUAUUUUCAAAAUGGAAAGUUUCCAUGCCAAGAAAUUUCACCUUCCUCUCUGAAGUAUGAUUUCCUGAUAUCCUUAAAGAUGAGGAAAUUAAGACCCCCAAGAGAUGAAGUGACUUAUUUAAUGUAAAAGAUCAAGAAUGGGGCUGGGCAUACAGUGUGUGCUAAGGAAAGAAUGCUUGGAUUGAAUUGAACCCUGCAGAACUUGGACUCUUCAGAGACACCGAUUUUGGUCUUGGGUGAAUACUUGCCUCAAGUUGGACAAUUAGCAGUGAACAGCAAUGGGCUCAAAGAGAUAUACCAAGUGUGUAGUCUUGUUUGCCCAACUAAGUUAUAAAUACCACGUUGUACUAACUUUUGUGUAACCCACAGCACUUUGAACAGUACUUGUUAUAGAUUAGACCUUCGUUAAAUCCAUUUUAAUUGAUUGACUGUCCCCAGAUCAAAAACCAGAUCCUGGUCUGUGUCUCAUGCAGCGACAAGAAUAGCUUUGCUAAAAAGAUGGACACUGUUGGACUGAAGAAGCACUUUUCAUGUAGUUCUUUGCCUUAAAUCGUCCUUGAAGAAGAGUAUCUGGGAUCCUGUGCUGCCUUUUAGAAACUGGACAUUUUGAAAAGUGCUACAAUAAAGAUUAUACUGUAUUA